GCCAUAUCAUUUUUUGAAACACUGGUUCUUGUACAAUCAACAAAGUUAAGCAACAUAAAGCCUGGUCAGUACUUAGAUGGGUGACCCCUUGUGAAUACUAGCUGCUGUAAG
Non-coding RNA from Acanthosepion pharaonis, 111 nucleotides. The record is from the annotation of a GenBank genome assembly. Lineage: Eukaryota; Metazoa; Mollusca; Cephalopoda; Sepiida; Sepiidae.